This 253-nucleotide ribosomal RNA is filed under the name uncultured bacterium. Its description in RNAcentral is "partial 16S ribosomal RNA". It matches the Rfam family "Bacterial small subunit ribosomal RNA", at positions 524 to 776 of the family's 1533-position model. The record is from RNAcentral.
UACGUAGGGGGCAAGCGUUGUCCGGAAUCAUUGGGCGUAAAGCGCGCGUAGGCGGCCUCGUAAGUCCGUUGUGAAAGUCAAAGGCUCAACCUUUGAAAGCCGAUGGAUACUGUGAGGCUAGAGUCCGGAAGAGGCGAGUGGAAUUCCUGGUGUAGCGGUGGAAUGCGCAGAUAUCAGGAGGAACACCAAUAGCGAAGGCAGCUCGCUGGGACGGUACUGACGCUAAGGCGCGAAAGCGUGGGGAGCGAACAGG